GUGAAAUUGUGACAAAAGAUGAUUCUGGCCCAAAAAUUGUCGUGGAUUCAGGGGAGAAAGUUGUUCCCGUUAAGCUAGGAAAGUUUAAGAAUGUGGAUAUUGGUGAAGGAAGUAGCAAUAACAGUAAUGUUGAUGAAAGGAGGUGUUUUUCUAUGGGUUCAUUUGAGUAUAUAAUGGAUGAGAAUUGUUCAUUACGAGUUGCUGUAAGUACUCCAAUGAAGAAACAAUCAAGCAAGAAACCUCCUUUGCCAUUAACUCCUGGCCACAGGCCAGCAAUGUCUGAAUGUGUUUUCGAAUCAAGAAGCGAAUUCCAUGG
This 316-nucleotide unclassified non-coding RNA is filed under the name Hevea brasiliensis (rubber tree). Lineage: Eukaryota; Viridiplantae; Streptophyta; Magnoliopsida; Malpighiales; Euphorbiaceae. The record is from RNAcentral.